ACCCCAAAAUUUUCUGAUUUUUUUUCUUUUUUUUUCUCUUUUUUUUCCCUUGAACCCCGAUACUUCUUUGAUUGAUUUUUUUUGUUUUUCUUGAACCCCACAACUUUUCAAUUAAUUUUGCACGGAUAAUCCCUGAUCACCACAUUUGGACCCCGAUAACUUCAUGUCAAUCUUGCUGCCAAACAAUGAACCUCGUUCUCCCUUUUCCCAUGCUAAUUCCGUUGGCAAUGCCGG
Molecule: long non-coding RNA, 234 nt
Filed under: Lathyrus oleraceus (garden pea)
Lineage: Eukaryota; Viridiplantae; Streptophyta; Magnoliopsida; Fabales; Fabaceae
Description: Pisum sativum (pea) long non-coding RNA (PSAT_LNC000311)
Source: RNAcentral